UACGUAGGGUGCAAGCGUUGUCCGGAAUUAUUGGGCGUAAAGAGCUCGUAGGCGGUUUGUCGCGUCGAAUGUGAAAACCCGGGGCUCAACCCCGGGCCUGCAUUCGAUACGGGCAGACUAGAGUGUGGUAGGGGAGACUGGAAUUCCUGGUGUAGCGGUGAAAUGCGCAGAUAUCAGGAGGAACACCUGAGGUGAAGACGGGUUGCUGGGCCAACACUGACGCUGAGGCGCGAAAGCCAGGGGAGCAAACGGG
RNAcentral lists this ribosomal RNA (253 nucleotides) under uncultured bacterium. RNAcentral's name for it is "partial 16S ribosomal RNA". It matches the Rfam family "Bacterial small subunit ribosomal RNA", at positions 524 to 776 of the family's 1533-position model. The record is from RNAcentral.